RNAcentral lists this ribosomal RNA (388 nucleotides) under uncultured bacterium. Its description in RNAcentral is "bacterial SSU rRNA". It matches the Rfam family "Bacterial small subunit ribosomal RNA", at positions 28 to 417 of the family's 1533-position model. The record is from RNAcentral.
GACGAACGCUGGCGGCGUGCUUAACACAUGCAAGUCGAGCGGUAAGGCCCUUUCGGGGGUACACGAGCGGCGAACGGGUGAGUAACACGUGGGUGACCUGCCCUCAGCUCUGGGAUAAGCCUGGGAAACCGGGUCUAAUACUGGAUAUGACUCCAUGACGCAUGUUGUGGGGUGGAAAGCCUUGUGCGGCUGAGGAUGGGCCCGCGGCCUAUCAGCUUGUUGGUGGGGUGANGGCCUACCAAGGCGACGACGGGUAGCCGGCCUGAGAGGGCGACCGGCCACACUGUGACUGAGACACGGCCCAGACUCCUACGGGAGGCAGCAGUGGGGAAUCUUGCGCAAUGGGCGAAAGCCUGACGCAGCGACGCCGCGUGAGGGAUGACGGCCU